ACUUGAAUCGACCAAAAAGUUACAGCGAGAAUUAUUUUUCAUCACUCGUUUCCUUUAUAAUAUGUAUUAUUGAAAAACAUUAUCUUUCGUUGGCUAAAUGCCUUGAUAAUUUUUCUGCAGGGGGCCUCGACUGAUUGAAAGUGUGAAGGGAAAGUUAAGCCUGCAGGGAGCAAACAUUCUCAAAGUGAAAAGAAUAAAUAAUGUUUUUGAGAAAAAAUUCAGUGUUAGGCCCGAAGAAAAACUUGUAAAGGCAGCUCACUGUAAUUUACAAACAACAGCAGGUCCUAUAGCAGGAGUUCUCUUCAUUUCCACAGAUAGGGCUGCUUUUCUCAGUCACAAACCAAUUAAGAUUUCUUCUUCCAGCGGCGAGAUUAUUAAAUUCCACUACAAGGAGGCGAUUUAUGAGACUCAAGGCCACUAUACUCUCUGAUAAAGCUGGGAAUUUUGCUAUACACAUUGGUUUCAUAUAUACAAACCGGAGUUGAUUCUGAAUGUGGUACACCUGGUCUCACCAUAGAUGGACAAGCUUGUACAUUAAUUUUUUGUUGUUAGACUAGAGUACAUAUCUGCAUGUAAUUUCUAGAUGAGCUUAGUGAUAGUCUAAGUUCUUUUGCUUGUCAAGCAAGAACCAUUGUAUUCAGAUUUUGUUCAUAGAUAUAGGCAUACUCCAGGCCGUUUGGCUAAAA
Molecule: long non-coding RNA, 686 nt
Organism: Lycium ferocissimum
Lineage: Eukaryota; Viridiplantae; Streptophyta; Magnoliopsida; Solanales; Solanaceae
Exons: 2
Source: RefSeq, a predicted model, not a curated record